UACGAAGGGGGCUAGCGUUGUUCGGAAUUACUGGGCGUAAAGCGCACGUAGGCGGAUAUUUAAGUCAGGGGUGAAAUCCCGGGGCUCAACCCCGGAACUGCCUUUGAUACUGGGUAUCUCGAGUCCGAGAGAGGUGAGUGGAAUUCCGAGUGUAGAGGUGAAAUUCGUAGAUAUUCGCAAGAACACCAGUGGCGAAGGCGGCUCACUGGCUCGAUACUGACGCUGAGGUGCGAAAGCGUGGGGAGCAAACAGG
RNAcentral lists this ribosomal RNA (253 nucleotides) under uncultured bacterium. RNAcentral describes it as "partial 16S ribosomal RNA". It matches the Rfam family "Bacterial small subunit ribosomal RNA", at positions 524 to 776 of the family's 1533-position model. The record is from RNAcentral.